GAUGAACGCUGGCGGCGUGCCUAAUACAUGCAAGUCGAGCGAACAGACGAGGAGCUUGCUCCUCUGACGUUAGCGGCGGACGGGUGAGUAACACGUGGAUAACCUACCUAUAAGACUGGGAUAACUUCGGGAAACCGGAGCUAAUACCGGAUAAUAUAUUGAACCGCAUGGUUCAAUAGUGAAAGACGGUUUUGCUGUCACUUAUAGAUGGAUCCGCGCCGCAUUAGCUAGUUGGUAAGGUAACGGCUUACCAAGGCAACGAUGCGUAGCCGACCUGAGAGGGUGAUCGGCCACACUGGAACUGAGACACGGUCCAGACUCCUACAGGAGGCAGCAGUAGGGAAUCUUCCGCAAUGGGCGAAAGCCUGACGGAGCAACGCCGCGUGAGUGAUGAAGGUCUUCGGAUCGUAGAACUCUGUUAUUAGGGAAGAACAAAUGUGUAAGUAACUAUGCACGUCUUGACGGUACCUAAUCAGAAAGCCACGGCUAACUACGUG
RNAcentral lists this ribosomal RNA (497 nucleotides) under uncultured bacterium. RNAcentral's name for it is "partial 16S ribosomal RNA". It matches the Rfam family "Bacterial small subunit ribosomal RNA", at positions 28 to 507 of the family's 1533-position model. The record is from RNAcentral.